UUGAAAUCCCAUGUAGCACGUGCUUCAAUGCAUCGCGGGCAUGCUCACACCUACAGCUAUUCUGUUUGCCUUUGCAGAUGCCAGGCUAAUCAGAGAACACCUUGUCCCUUGUCCCCUGCUGCAAGGACAGACCGGAGUUUUACUUGUCUCCAGCUGAUGGAGCCAGGCAAAGCAGGCACCAGCAGCAAGAUCCUAGUGGCAACUUUGAAUUUAGAGCAUUCCAGGGGCAGCUGUGGCAUAAAUAAGAACACCUGCUGUAUUCUCCCAGCAAACACUGGGGCCAUGGUGUUUCUCCUCUAAUGACACCUCAUCAAUCCGCUCCUAUCAACGUCCCAGCCAUGGAGGUGACUUGGAGUGCUCAGAAGCUAUAGAAAAUGUCAACGUUUUGGGAGAAAAGUUGAGCAAAUGAGAGCGCUCACAGAUAUGGAUUUGCCAGCUGAAACGUGAAGGUGGCAUCUCGCAGCAGCAGGGUGGUGAACAGCCAAAUCAAGCAGGGGUGAAGGCAGCAUCUUUCACUGCAUGGCCCUUUCCAUAAUCCGCUUCUGGGUGGAACAUAAAGGCGCUUCCAGAGCAGACAAAUGAAGGCUACUUCAUGAUGAUGACAAUGAGGAAAACAUUACCAGUCCAUUAUGCAGCACUUCAGCUUGAUUACCUUGGUCUAAUUGCUCACUGGAUGGGAAAAAGAGGCAGUGUAGAAUCAAAGAUAAGAUACUUGUGAUCAAGUGCCAGCAAAGGCUUUUGUGAAAAUGCUAACGUGUCCUGUCUGUCAAAAAGUCACACUUUCGGAAGUGCAUUGGUGUAUUUGUAUAUUGGGGGG
Molecule: long non-coding RNA, 817 nt
Organism: Pezoporus flaviventris
Lineage: Eukaryota; Metazoa; Chordata; Aves; Psittaciformes; Psittacidae
Exons: 5
Source: RefSeq, a predicted model, not a curated record